AGUGAACGCUGGCGGUAGGCCUAACACAUGCAAGUCGAACGGCAGCACAGUAAGAGCUUGCUCUUACGGGUGGCGAGUGGCGGACGGGUGAGGAAUACAUCGGAAUCUACUUUUUCGUGGGGGAUAACGUAGGGAAACUUACGCUAAUACCGCAUACGACCUACGGGUGAAAGCAGGGGAUCUUCGGACCUUGCGCGAUUGAAUGAGCCGAUGUCGGAUUAGCUAGUUGGCGGGGUAAAGGCCCACCAAGGCGACGAUCCGUAGCUGGUCUGAGAGGAUGAUCAGCCACACUGGAACUGAAACACGGUCCAGACUCCUACGGGAGGCAGCAUUGGGGAAUAUUGGACAAUGGGCGCAAGCCUGAUCCAGCCAUACCGCGUGGGUGAAGAAGGCCUUCGGGUUGUAAAGCCCUUUUGUUGGGAAAGAAAAGCAGCAAGUUAAUACCCCGCUGUUCUGACGGUACCCAAAGAAUAAGCACCGGCUAACUUCGUG
This 492-nucleotide ribosomal RNA is filed under the name uncultured bacterium. Its description in RNAcentral is "partial 16S ribosomal RNA". It matches the Rfam family "Bacterial small subunit ribosomal RNA", at positions 29 to 507 of the family's 1533-position model. The record is from RNAcentral.